UCCCGCCGGCGACCGGCGCACGGGUGAGUAACACGUAUGAAACCUGCCCGUAGCAGGGGGAUAAGCGGAAGAAAUUCCGUCUAAUACCGCGUAACAACCCGAGGAGGCAUCUCCUCGGGUUUAAAGGAAGCGAUUCCGGCUACGGAUGGUCAUGCGUCGCAUUAGCUAGUUGGCGGGGUAACGGCCCACCAAGGCGACGAUGCGUAGGGGUUCUGAGAGGAAGGUCCCCCACACUGGUACUGAGACACGGACCAGACUCCUACGGGAGGCAGCAG
Molecule: ribosomal RNA, 275 nt
Filed under: uncultured bacterium
Lineage: Bacteria
Description: partial 16S ribosomal RNA
Rfam family: Bacterial small subunit ribosomal RNA
Source: RNAcentral